This 295-nucleotide unclassified non-coding RNA is filed under the name uncultured fungus. RNAcentral describes it as "sequence contains ITS1". The stretch from base 1 to 105 matches the Rfam family "5.8S ribosomal RNA", at positions 50 to 154 of the family's 154-position model. The record is from RNAcentral. Lineage: Eukaryota; Fungi.
GAAUUGCGAUAAGUAGUGUGAAUUGCAGAAUCUAGUGAAUCAUCGAAUCUUUGAACGCACAUGGCGCCCCCUGGCACUCCGGGGGGCAUGCCUGUUCGAGUGUCGUCCCCAACCCCUCGAGCGUCGCUCGGUCUUGGGAGGUGCCCGGUGCCGGGCGCUCCCUAAAUCUAGUGGUCCGACCGCCACCGCCCGCGCGGAGUAGAAGCUGGUAUCGCUCCGGGCCGUGGCGGGCCGUGACCAGAACCCCCAUGAGAUAUUUGACCUCGGAUCAGGUAGGAAUACCCGCUGAACUUAA